UCCCAGGUGGCUCAGUGGCAAAGAAUCUGCCUGCAGUGCAGAAGACACAGGUUGGAUCCCUGGGUUGGGAA
RNAcentral lists this transfer RNA (71 nucleotides) under Ovis aries (sheep). It matches the Rfam family "tRNA". From Rfam's summary of the family: Transfer RNA (tRNA) molecules are approximately 80 nucleotides in length. The record is from Rfam by way of RNAcentral. Lineage: Eukaryota; Metazoa; Chordata; Mammalia; Artiodactyla; Bovidae.